Molecule: long non-coding RNA, 782 nt
Organism: Microcebus murinus (gray mouse lemur)
Lineage: Eukaryota; Metazoa; Chordata; Mammalia; Primates; Cheirogaleidae
Source: RefSeq, a predicted model, not a curated record
GUUUGCCGGCUUCAGCGGUGAUGGAUCACCGUUUCAGUGGCAUUUAAAUCCCCGGCGCUCCUCCGUCUAGGUGACGCGCAGUCGCCCCCCCAGGCAGCUGCGGCGGCGGCAGCUGCUGCGGCUGCAACGGCAGAUUCGGAGUGCUGGGGCAAAGGAGAGCAGAAGCUGCCCUGCGCGCGCGCCCGACUCCGCUCGCCCCCCCCCUCCGGGAGGUGGGGGCUGAGAGGCAUCUCCCGCUCCUGAUCCUCUCCCCACCAUGCACAGAAAGAUGAACUGGCAAGAGGUCUGUUUUGCCUGAACCCAUCAACAGCUGGGAGAUUAAUCAUCCACACUGAGAAUGUGCAGGGAUUUGUGGGGAAGGGAGUUGAAAUGUAGAUGUUUGAAACAAACGUGUAUAAAAGUGUAUAAAUAAAUGAGUUGUUGAUAACUUAGUUAUUGACCUGGACACUGGUAGCUUGUUAAAGAAACUCCAUGUUACUCAUUCCUGAAGUUGGGGGUUUCUGUAGGCACUUUAUUUCUCUACUUUCAAGAGCUUGGGCUUGGCCCAAAUCUUAGGCUGCCCAAUCUUGUUUCUAUUACCAAUUUUAAUCUAUGGCUUGAACCUGUACACUGAAAACCAAAUCCAUUCCUUUAAAAAAUAAAUAAAUAAAAUAAAAACAAAACAAAACAAAAACAUUUGUCAGAAGCCCUAGCCAUUUUCUGGCUUUUUUUUUUUUUUUUUUUUUGCUGUCUAUUGAAGACUUUCAACAUGCCGCCUUAAUAAAUAUACUAAAAUUGAAAAA